RNAcentral lists this ribosomal RNA (462 nucleotides) under uncultured bacterium. RNAcentral's name for it is "partial 16S ribosomal RNA". It matches the Rfam family "Bacterial small subunit ribosomal RNA", at positions 338 to 795 of the family's 1533-position model. The record is from RNAcentral.
CCUAUGGGAGGCAGCAGUGAGGAAUAUUGGUCAAUGGACGCAAGUCUGAACCAGCCAAGUAGCGUGCAGGAUGACGGCCCUCCGGGUUGUAAACUGCUUUUAGUUGGGAAUAAAAGGGGGCUCGUGAGCCCCGUAUUGUAUGUACCAUCAGAAAAAGGACCGGCUAAUUCCGUGCCAGCAGCCGCGGUAAUACGUAGGAGGCGAGCGUUAUCCGGAAUGACUGGGCGUAAAGGGUGCGUAGGUGGUUUGGCAAGUUAGUAGCGUAACUCCAAGGCUCAACCUUGGAACUACUACUAAAACUGUUGGAAUUGAGUGCAGGAGGGGCAACCGGAAUUCCUAGUGUAGCGGUGGAAUGCGUAGAUAUUAGGAGGAACACCAGUGGCGAAGGCGGGUUGCUAGACUGUAACUGACACUGAGGCACGAAAGCGUGGGGAGCAAACAGGAUUAGAUACCCCUGUAGUC